CGGCGUGCUUAACACAUGCAAGUCGAACGAUGAACCUCACUUGUGGGGGGAUUAGUGGCGAACGGGUGAGUAACACGUGAGUAACCUGCCCUUGACUCUGGGAUAAGCCUGGGAAACUGGGUCUAAUACCGGAUAUGACCUUCCAUCGCAUGGUGGUUGGUGGAAAGCUUUUGUGGUUUUGGAUGGACUCGCGGCCUAUCAGCUUGUUGGUGGGGUAAUGGCCUACCAAGGCGACGACGGGUAGCCGGCCUGAGAGGGUGACCGGCCACACUGGGACUGAGACACGGCCCAGACUCCUACGGGAGGCAGCAGUGGGGAAUAUUGCACAAUGGGCGCAAGCCUGAUGCAGCGACGCCGCGUGAGGGAUGACGGCCUUCGGGUUGUAAACCUCUUUCAGUAGGGAAGAAGCGAGAGUGACGGUACCUGCAGAAGAAGCGCCGGCUAACUACGUGCCAGCAGCCGCGGUAAUACGUAGGGCGCAAGCGUUAUCCGGAAUUAUUGGGCGUAAAGAGCUCGUAGGCGGUUUGUCGCGUCUGCCGUGAAAGUCCGGGGCUCAACUCCGGAUCUGCGGUGGGUACGGGCAGACUAGAGUGAUGUAGGGGAGACUGGAAUUCCUGGUGUAGCGGUGAAAUGCGCAGAUAUCAGGAGGAACACCGAUGGCGAAGGCAGGUCUCUGGGCAUUAACUGACGCUGAGGAGCGAAAGCAUGGGGAGCGAACAGGAUUAGAUACCCUGGUAGUCCAUGCCGUAAACGUUGGGCACUAGGUGUGGGGGACAUUCCACGUUUUCCGCGCCGUAGCUAACGCAUUAAGUGCCCCGCCGGGGAGU
RNAcentral lists this ribosomal RNA (827 nucleotides) under rhizosphere soil bacterium BEM-463. Its description in RNAcentral is "bacterial SSU rRNA". It matches the Rfam family "Bacterial small subunit ribosomal RNA", at positions 40 to 881 of the family's 1533-position model. The record is from RNAcentral.